Molecule: ribosomal RNA, 465 nt
Filed under: uncultured bacterium
Lineage: Bacteria
Description: partial 16S ribosomal RNA
Rfam family: Bacterial small subunit ribosomal RNA
Source: RNAcentral
CCUACGGGGGACAGCAGUAGGGAAUCUUCCACAAUGGGCGAAAGCCUGAUGGAGCAACGCCGCGUGGGUGAAGAAGGUCUUCUGAUCGUAAAACCCUGUUGUUAGAGAAGAAAGUGCGUGAGAGUAACUGUUCACGUUUCGACGGUAUCUAACCAGAAAGCCACGGCUAACUACGUGCCAGCAGCCGCGGUAAUACGUAGGUGGCAAGCGUUAUCCGGAUUUAUUGGGCGUAAAGGGAACGCAGGCGGUCUUUUAAGUCUGAUGUGAAAGCCUUCGGCUUAACCGGAGUAGUGCAUUGGAAACUGGGAGACUGGAGUGCAGAAGAGGAGAGUGGAACUCCAUGUGUAGCGGUGAAAUGCGUAGAUAUAUGGAAGAACACCAGUGGCGAAAGCGGCUCUCUGGUCUGUAACUGACGCUGAGGUUCGAAAGCGUGGGUAGCAAACAGGAUUAGAUACCCCAGUAGUC